AUACGGAGGGGGUUAGCGUUGUUCGGAAUUACUGGGCGUAAAGCGCACGUAGGCGGACUGGAAAGUUGGGGGUGAAAUCCCGGGGCUCAACCUCGGAACUGCAUCCAAAACUGCCGUGCUUGAGGGAGACAGAGGUGAGCGGAACUCAAGGUGGAGCGGUGAAAUGCGUUGAUAUCUUGAGGAACACCGGUGGCGAAAGCGGCUCACUGGGUCUCUUCUGACGCUGAGGCACGAAAGCUAAGGUAGCAAACGGGAUUAGAUACCCCGGUAGUCUUAGCUGUAAACGAUGAGCACUUGAUUGGAGGGUCCUCCAUAGCCUUCCAGUCGUAGCGAAAGUGUUAAGUGUUCCGCCUGGGGAGUACGCACGCAAGUGUGAAACUCAAAGGAAUUGACGGGGGCCCGCACAAGCGGUGGAGUAUGUGGUUUAAUUCGAAGCAACGCGCAGAACCUUACCAACCCUUGACAUCCUGUGCCACUACCAGAGAUGGUACUUUCCCUUCGGGGACGCAGUGACAGGUGCUGCAUGGC
RNAcentral lists this ribosomal RNA (528 nucleotides) under uncultured Alphaproteobacteria bacterium. RNAcentral's name for it is "bacterial SSU rRNA". It matches the Rfam family "Bacterial small subunit ribosomal RNA", at positions 523 to 1049 of the family's 1533-position model. The record is from RNAcentral. Lineage: Bacteria; Pseudomonadati; Pseudomonadota; Alphaproteobacteria.